AUGGCAACAAAUGAUCAUUUGUCUGUUUUGCAGAAGAAGAAAUGUAAUCGCAAUAGGGCUUCACAGGAACGCCUGACUUCAUUGACCGAGAGAUUUACCGACAAUCAGAAGGGAGCUGCUGUUGAGAUGGGUAUGCAGGCUCUGAUGGAUGUCCGGUGCAAGAAUCUAGUGAAUCCUGUAUGCGACUGGCUUGGUGAGAUUUACGACUCCGCCUCCAGGGAAUUUGUGAUUCCGGGACGUGGAAGACUGCCGUUAGACGAGGAAUCCGUGUUUUGCACUUUGGGUGUGCCCCGUGGAGAAAUCAAAGUCCUGUAUGAGGUCAACAAUAAGAUUGAGGAAACGUUGUUUCCCUGUUUGUUUCCUGGGUUGGCAUCCAAGCCGAACACGACUUUCCUAGAAGAUUCGCUGCAGGCCAUGACAACCCAUGGCGAGGUUUUUAAGAUGAAGCUACUCAUGUACCUCAUCUCAGCUGUUUUCGCGCUGACCACUUCUCUUCGCCCAAGCAACAAAUGCUUCCCCAUCCUGGCGAAACUGAAAGAUGUGAAGAACAUGAAUUGGUGUAAGUUUAUUGCUGACUUCCUGCAUGAUGCAUUCUCAAACAAGAUGUACCAGAAGGGUUGUCGACUGCAUUUAAUGCUCAUGUACGUCGACUGUCUUGAUCUGUCCACCGUCGACUUCACUGGGACAGGAGGCCCGCCGCCUACACACAAGUUUGUUGUUUCUGCGUGGACUUACAAUGCUGUCAAGGCUGUGCUUGCUGCAGACAGGGUAACUGAUACCAAAUAUGGGAAACUGCAGCUGAUGGGCAAGCAUGCUAUAGACUACAACGUGUUUGGGGGCCUCAAAACUUUGGAAAGUGGAUGGAUGUGCACUCAGCUCCGUCUUGUCCUACUGACUGACUCUAACAUGGUUGGUUAUUGCUGCUUCUUGUUUCGUGCACAGGUGAGGGCACCUGUUGAGCAUCUAAUUGGGCAGUUUGAAUCCGGAAUGAUCAGCUUGCUCGGGAAGUUGGUUGAGGGUUGGACAUCCCUUAAUGGCUCUAACAGAGACGCGCUUGCUGACACACAAGAUGAACUAGAUGGAGAUGCUGCUCUCAACAAGGACGAUGACGAUGACAUGGAGAACGUGCAGCACGACACCGAUGAUGAUGAACAUGUUGAUGUUCAUGCAGGUGGUAAGAAGGGGAAGGCUGCACCAGAUGUCCCCUCACCGGAGAAAGUCAAAGAACAUACAACUGCGAGAGGCGAGGGGGUGUCGCCCUCAAAGAGGGGGAGGGCUCCACGGGAUGUUGGGCAGGGCUCUCCUGGCAAGAGGUCUAGGACCAACCCCGUAGCUGCUAGGAGGAGUGAGGCGACAACUGAUGGACGAGCAGUUACGAAGAAACAGGCACCAACACCAACCCGUGUUUCUGCUCGAUUGAACAAAGGUGCCCCCAUUGCUGGUGACACCCCUUCCACCAGGUCAUCUCCUCGUACGAUGACGUCCAACACCGGGGAUCCUGUCGUGUUGCCAGACAUGAGAAAGCCAGUCAAGGAGGUGAAGAACACUACUACACGCGUGACCAAGCAUGUCAUUAGGGACCCACUUGAACGCCUUCAUUCAAAGUUGUCGACAUGUGGCAACUCAGAUAUUCAUGAGGCGCCAGUCGACAAAACUGCUGUUGCACCGUCAAUUGUUCCCACUAGCUCUAACGAUGCUGCUGUGAGCCAUGCCACCCCAUCAGCAAGUGUUGAAGUGGACGCCCCCGAGACCAACCUAAGCAAGGAAGAUUCCCGCUCAUCUGACACAGAUUCCAAGCGUGUGCGUGGUGGCACUCAUGUGUCCAUGACAGAAGUGGCUGAGGCGACGGUUCAUAAUGAUAUGCCAUCCACAGGUGAGAGUCUUGGCGUAGAGGUUGCUAAGGCGACCAUUUCGCGAGCUGGUCUUCCACCUAGGCGUCGUAGCCCCCGCAAGCAAUCAAUAGACAUACCCAAUGCACCGGCUGUAGCUAGGAGUAGCAGAGAUGAUUCUGGUUAUGUUCCUGCAUCCACACUGUUACCACCACCUGCCAAAAGCAAUGUUAUGGAGAAACCGGAAGACCGGAGUACAACUGAUCCAGGUGGCAAGACGGGCACGAGUGACGGAGGUGAAUGUCCGGAGCAGACUGCGUCUUUACCCGCAGUGGAGAACCCCAACUUAAAUCUACGCACUUCCAAGCUCCCAGUCAAUGUUGGUGUCCCCUACAGCCCAAACAAGAAGAUUGUCAAGAAAGCUGCGACUGAUACCGCUGACAACAUGCCCCGCCCUAUGAAUAAGCCCGAUGAUUCUGCAGCGGCCGAUUCAGAAAUGUUUGUUGAUAUUUCACCCUUGGAUUCUGCCCCGCAAAUUGUUCGUGGUCUAGCUAGCAUGGCCGCAAUGAUGGCGCAACCAAUGGUCGAGGACAGGAAGGCUGUCAAGGUCACAGAGCCGAUCGUGCAAAGUAUCCUAACCCACUUUUUGAUCCUUGCAGGCACCCCUGAGGAGAUUUCGCCGUCACUUGAUGAAGCUUACCGCAGGAUUGAGGAGGCAACAUUGCAGAGGAGGUCCUCACGAGGUCAGGGGCAAUCAAGUUCCAACGUGCCUGCUGAGACGGUAUCUGAGGAUACCAUUAGAAGUGCCACCCCUGGUUUUGUGAGGCGGCACAGGGUAGUUCACCCACCUCCCGCGGAUGACUACGAGCCCGAAGUCAAGGGCCCAAAGGAGCAGAACCAGUUGCACGAUAUUGUCAAGCAAUUUGGAAACGCGAGGGCCAGCAGCAAGCACAUGAAGGAGCUGAAAGCAACCAAGGUCAUACAAUGCGAAGCGACGUACGUCGACCUGGGUGAUCUUGCCGACUCUGUGAGGCCACUCGGUAAAAUGUCGACGAAUGUAGUUGUAUGUGGGAUUGACUUCAUCAACAGGCAUAUGGAUAUGUCUCCCAACAAAACAAUCAUGCAUUACAGUGUGACCUGCAAAAUAUGGGAUGGUGACUUCCACCACAAAAUCCUAAGGAAGCAUUUUGCUGCGCAUGGUGAAUUCAAGCUCACAAUGAAGAAAUGUGUCCUGUUCCCCAUGUUCCAGGAGCUUGCACCACACGACCCACACGAUAAGUGUGGUCACCACUACGCGGUCUGCCUUGACCUGAAGAACCAAUGUUUUGAGGUGCUUGAUUCAAUGCGUUCGGCAGCUAAUGCAGACCUUUCUACGCAUGAUGAAUACUUCAUCAACAACCUCAAAGAGACAUGGAACCGCCACUACAAACACUCAAAGGUCCAGAUUAGACAUUUUCCAAUUGAGUACGUGGCGCCUACGAAGCAAGGGAACAAGAUGGACUAUGGCUUUCACAUAUUGGAAUACCUUGCAAAGUGGGAAGGUAGACUGGUUCCUGUUGUCACAGUUGCAAUGGUCGUUGAGCUUCGCAAAAUUUACACAUGGAACUGGUUGACGAAUGAAGAUUUCAACACGUGGUCCGGAGCACAUGAGUUCAUAGAGGAAGCUGUCAAUAAAGUCACCAAGAAGUACAAGUGA
This 3525-nucleotide ribosomal RNA is filed under the name Triticum aestivum (bread wheat). Its description in RNAcentral is "partial small subunit ribosomal RNA". Lineage: Eukaryota; Viridiplantae; Streptophyta; Magnoliopsida; Poales; Poaceae. The record is from RNAcentral.